This is a long non-coding RNA of Triticum urartu, 3992 nucleotides long. RefSeq lists it as uncharacterized. NCBI's taxonomy places the organism in Eukaryota, Viridiplantae, Streptophyta, Magnoliopsida, Poales, Poaceae. The record is from RefSeq and is a predicted model, not a curated record.
AUUUCCCCUCUGCCCCGACUAAAAAAUCCCCUCUACGCCGCCCGGCGCAUGACCGCCCGAUUCAGCGCCUCCCGCUGGAGACCGCCCGCCUCCGACGAGGGCCACGCCGGUGAUCUCCCCUCAGCCCGCCUGCCCCCUCCUUUCAUCUCCGUUCUACUCCUUCUCUCUCGGCCCCAUCGAGCUCGCCUCGAUCCAUGGCCCCUCCUUAAACCUAGCUCCGGUCUCGGCCACGACCGGCCUCGCAGAUCUCGGCCGCCAUCCCCUACGCCUCCCCCCGCGUCUCCCUCACCUCGCCCGUGCAGCACCGUAGCUGCACGUCGCCUGCGCCAUCUGCUGCUGCCCCGCUCUAAACCACUUGCAUGCCAUGGGCAGCGGCCAUGGAGGACACACCUCCGCCUGCUCACUCGCCGCUGGCCAGCCAGUACCUCCACCAACAUCUCAUCCAUCUAGAUCAGUGGCCCUUUAAUUUUAGCGGAUUUUCUUCUUCUUUACAGCAUGCUAAUUAGCUAGGAUAUAGUCUUGAUUUCAAUUAUUGCAGAAUGGCAAUCUGCUUUAUGUUGGCUUUAUCAUCUCAGGAUAAUCCAGAUGUUCUCAUAUGCCUUGAGGAGUUGUCGGUGGAUUAUAUGCAGAGGCUACCAAGUGGUAGCUCCAAUGUUGCAAGAGGUCAGUAAUGGGUGCUUCUUCUGGGAUGGCUAACCUGAGAUACCAACGCUGAAGGAUCUGAAUUUUCAAGCUCAGCAAGGCCUGCAUGUUGCAGUCUGUGGGACGGCCGGCUCUGGAAAAUCAAGUUUGCUCUCUUGAAUGGUAUGGUUCCAAAGCUAUUAGGAGAGGCCAAGACUUGCGGAACAAUGCCAUAUGUCAGCCAGACUGCAUGGAUACAAAGCGACAAAAUUCAGGACAACAUACUGCUCGGCAAGACCAUGGAGAGGGAGAAGUAUGGCAGGGUCCUUGAGUGGUGUUCGCUAAAGAAAGACUUGGAGAUCAGAAAUCAUUGGAGAGUGAGUCUGCACUCUUAGUGCCUGGCAGAAGCAAAGGACUCGGAUAGCCCGAGCAUUGUAUCAGUAUGCUGACAUCUAUUUAUUCCAUGAUCCGUUCAACGCAGUUGACAUACAGGAUCCCAAUUUUUCAAGAUCGAUGGUUUCGUCGCGGUCGGCAGGAGAAAUAUCAUCAAUGGUACGGAAAAAGGCAGGUAGGCUGAGGCGGGCGCCCACACCGAGCAGCCGAUCCAGGAAACCAGCCCUGCGGCACCCCCUCGUGCCACUCCCCAUCUCUAUGUUUGUGUCAGGCCUAGCGCAAGGUAUUGGUAGAAGAGGAGGCCGGAAAGAGAAGCUGCAUGGUAGGAGGCUUUUGAUCUGAAGGCAAGUUGGAUGAUCUGCUGACAAAGAAACACCUCUAUUCUGAAUUUCUACUUGAAACAAUUGAUCAGAUCACAAAUGUACCUUGGUUAUGUCUCUCACUGUGUGCUGAACAAUGUUUUGCCUAUUUUCAUCUUGGUUGCUGACAUUGUUGGUGUUAUCUGUCAAAGAAAGUUGUUGAAGUGAAAGAUGAAGAUGAACCCGUAGAAGAGCUGAAAAAAGGACGUGGUAGAAAAAAGGAAGCGAAGCCUAAACAGUAUAAUGAUGUUUUAGUGUCUGGAUCUUCAAUACGAAACAGAGUCGACGGUAUAUGUCAAUUCUGUAUUGGUUCUAGGCAAGUAGGUUGACAUGUUCAUCUGUUAUCAUGAGUGUCGUGUUUACACUUGCAGUUCAGAUAUUACGCUUAAGCUAAAGGUCUGAUUGUACUGUCUAGAGGUGGAAUGGCUAAGCUCUCUUUAUGGUCCUUUUUGCUGAAUAUCUUGCAAAUGGCACACUAAAGUGCAGGAAAUUAUUAGGUGUGUGGGUAUCAAUCCAGUAUGUUCUUAUGUCUAUGGAUCCGGGAAAUGUUGACGCUUUAUUGGUUUUGGUCAACAAAAUUUUAGGUGUACAUGCUUUCAUCUUGAAUAUAUGUAGUUCUUAAGUAAUACUACUUCUCGGUUAGUUCAUUGAAGUAAUGAUACAAUCAAUUGGAUGUUUCUCUACGGUUAUGCAUCUAGCGGGAAAAUUGUUGUUUUCACAUAAUUGUUUUUCACCAUAGUUCAUUGUCAGCAUCUUUAUUCUCCUAAUACAGUCAUAUUGUCCAUAUAAGUGCAGCUUUUAGUUCGUAAAAGUACUAUAUACUUUUCCCAAUUGAUUUCACUAGAUUCCCUGUUUUUACAGUAAGGAUUAAACCCGUUGCAAUUUUUUGUAGUCUUGUGCUGAACACAGUUUAUAUAAAGAAAAAGAAUUUAAUCUUUCUGUUUCUUCCAUGACGAUAAAACUGAAUAUGUUUGGACAUGGGUGUCACACAAGGAAUGACGAGUUCAUGUCAAGCACCUACGACUCAGUCAUCAACAAGUCGCUAAUAAUGCAUACUUGGUUUAACUAAUUAAAGUAACAAACACAGACACCAACCCACGGGUGCACCACAAGGCGGAAUCUCGGCGUUGACGGGAAAGAGGCUGUGGUGGAUCGGCGUUGCUGGGAAUAGGUUUGGUCGUGUCAGGUGUGGGCUUGCGGCAAGCCUCUCCUGCCUCCUGCCCUGGCAUUGGGUGGUAGACAGAAGAGGGGUAACUAAACAAAGAAUAUAUGAAAUUGCGAAAUGCCCUUUUCUCCCAUUGCAAAAUUAUUUUGUUUCUCCCGUUACGCACGGGUACACUGUUGCAAAAUGCAGGAAUAUUUUGGUUGUUCAAAUUCAUUCUUUGCUCCGUAAGUAAACCAAUUAUACAUGGGUUAGGUUAUGCCAUGCAAACUUGAUACCAUUGGGUUUGUGUUCAAAGUAAUUUAUUGUGAUUGUAAUUUGUAACUACGAACAUAUCCCCUACAUUUUGCCACUGGGUGGGUAUGUUCUGUAGAUCUGUAGAAAUCAGAGGAGCAAUAUCAUCUUGGUUCUGUAACAAGAAAUAACCGUCUGCCAACUGAAACUCUUAAGAGCAGAGUGUGCAGGGUGUAAUAGUAAUCAAAUUAAAUACUAAACAUUAUAUGUGCCGAAUUCAUGUAUCAGUAAUUCUACUGGUGCUGGGAUGGUAAUGGAUAAUGGAUUGAUUAGAUUAGUAGCGCAUCUCGCAAAAAAAAAAAUCCGCAACUAACUUUCACAGAACUGAAAGAUCACUUGUACUCCCUCCGUAAACUAAUAUAAGGGUUUUUAGAUCACUACUUAUUAGUUUAUAAAGGGAGUAGCAAAGAAAGAUCCCACAGAACAAUCGAUCCAAAUUCAGGAAAGAUAGAGCUCCUUACCAACGCCAGAAGAGAUCGUCCGGUUCCCGAGGUGGGUCCACUCUAGAGGAGGGCGGUGGUGACCAGGAGAGGACAACUCGGUGGAAGGGAGCGUGCACGUGUGUCCGCCGGCGCGGUCACGCGGAUGGACAGGCGGGGGUGCCCAUGGGGCGAGCAGGGCGCGGAGGCCCCCCUGCCGGAGAGGUUCCCGGAGGACGGAGUAGCGUGUUCUGGAGUGGGAGAGGAGGGACAGGACUACAGGAGCGCCAUGAGGGAUGGGAAUUCUAACAUGGGCGUCAACAAGCUCAGCUACAAGAAGCGACGUCGCGUUUGACUGACAGUACAGUUCGGACAUACUUCAUUUUUAUCUGUUUGGAACGCCACAACUUUUUUUUCAAAACGGGGGCAAAAGACCUCAUCGAUUAAUUAACAAGAGAAUUGUCCAGUUAAUCAACGAACAAUCGGACGAAAACCGUUACAAACCAAUCACAACAUUUUAUACUAUUGGCAGUUUAUCUAUACCGCUACAGCUACUGAAGGGUAGUGGAUUUGAAGGUUGCUAUAUCUUGAGUUGUCCCUUAUCUUACUAAAUUCAGGAUUCAACUCAGGAGAGUGUACAAAACAUGCAGGUCUGUAUUGUUUCCGGUGUGUGUUGGUCAUGCAUCAGGUAUCACUCAGUUUCAAGGAAUUUCAAGAGGGCAUGUCAGCUUCUCCUAUUUGAUG